CGACCGGCAAACGGGUGCGGAACACGUACACAACCUUCCUUGAAUAGGGGGAUAGCCCAUAGAAAUGUGGAUUAAUACCCCGUAAUAUAGCGGUGUGGCAUCACACUGUUAUUAUAGUUUCGGCGAUUCGAGAUGGGUGUGCGGCUGAUUAGGUAGUUGGCGGGGUAAAGGCCCACCAAGCCUUCGAUCAGUAGCUGAUGUGAGAGCAUGAUCAGCCACACGGGCACUGAGACACGGGCCCG
RNAcentral lists this ribosomal RNA (242 nucleotides) under uncultured bacterium. RNAcentral's name for it is "partial 16S ribosomal RNA". It matches the Rfam family "Bacterial small subunit ribosomal RNA", at positions 92 to 334 of the family's 1533-position model. The record is from RNAcentral.